AAAAUUUUCUUACUGUUUUACUCAAGAAAGUGGUUUUCCCAGGGCAAAGCUUAUCCAUUGCACUCCAUCGAUGUGCUGACCCCUGCAAUUUCCCCCAAAUGUGGGAAACUUGACGGCAUAAUUUGUGGUAGUGGGGGACUGUGUUUGUGCUUUCCCCUU
Ursus americanus (American black bear) is the source of this 159-nucleotide small nuclear RNA. Its record names the gene U1. It matches the Rfam family "U1 spliceosomal RNA". From Rfam's summary of the family: U1 is a small nuclear RNA (snRNA) component of the spliceosome (involved in pre-mRNA splicing). Its 5' end forms complementary base pairs with the 5' splice junction, thus defining the 5' donor site of an intron. The record is from Ensembl. Lineage: Eukaryota; Metazoa; Chordata; Mammalia; Carnivora; Ursidae.